CGGUCUGAUUAGUGGCGAACGGGUGAGUAACACGUGAGUAACCUGCCCUCCACUUCGGGAUAACCUCGGGAAAUCGUGGCUAAUACCGGAUAUGAAUCCUUGUCGCAUGGCGGGGGUUGGAAAGAUUUAUCGGUGGGGGAUGGACUCGCGGCCUAUCAGUUUGUUGGUGAGGUAAUGGCUCACCAAGACGAUGACGGGUAGCCGGCCUGAGAGGGCGACCGGCCACACUGGGACUGAAACACGGCCCAGACUCCUACGGGAGGCAGCAGUGGGGAAUAUUGCACAAUGGGCGAAAGCCUGAUGCAGCGACGCCGCGUGAGGGAUGACGGCCUUCGGGUUGUAAACCUCUUUCAGUAGGGAAGAAGCGAGAGUGACGGUACCUGCAGAAGAAGCGCCGGCUAACUACGUGCCAGCAGCCGCGGUAAUACGUAGGGCGCAAGCGUUGUCCGGAAUUAUUGGGCGUAAAGAGCUUGUAGGUGGCUUGUCGCGUCUGCCGUGAAAACCCGAGGCUCAACCUCGGGCGUGCGGUGGGUACGGGCAGGCUAGAGUGUGGUAGGGGAGACUGGAACUCCUGGUGUAGCGGUGAAAUGCGCAGAUAU
RNAcentral lists this ribosomal RNA (599 nucleotides) under Brachybacterium massiliense. Its description in RNAcentral is "bacterial SSU rRNA". It matches the Rfam family "Bacterial small subunit ribosomal RNA", at positions 84 to 697 of the family's 1533-position model. The record is from RNAcentral. Lineage: Bacteria; Bacillati; Actinomycetota; Actinomycetes; Micrococcales; Dermabacteraceae.